GAAUGAGUUCGUUCUUGAGCUUAUGGAUCAUAAAUUUUAUAUUCUUCAACAUACUUAUGAAACCCUAAUUUUUUAGGUUCAUUAUCAACGUUCCAUAUUCGCCCAGAAAUCAUAGUUAAUUACGAUUUCCACGGUUAACAUCUUUUACUAAAUAUUUUGCCAUAACUUCGCUAUAGCAUAUAUUUACUCUGUUCCAAUUGGAACAUAUCCAUAACUCAUCCAUGUCUAACAUUUCCUAACCAAACAUAUAGCAACUAGCUUAUAUACGAUGGUUUUAAAC
This 280-nucleotide long non-coding RNA is filed under the name Panax ginseng (ginseng). RNAcentral describes it as "long non-coding RNA (PGIN_LNC014803)". The record is from RNAcentral. Lineage: Eukaryota; Viridiplantae; Streptophyta; Magnoliopsida; Apiales; Araliaceae.